This 71-nucleotide transfer RNA is filed under the name Ictidomys tridecemlineatus (thirteen-lined ground squirrel). RNAcentral describes it as "Spermophilus tridecemlineatus (thirteen-lined ground squirrel) tRNA". It matches the Rfam family "tRNA". From Rfam's summary of the family: Transfer RNA (tRNA) molecules are approximately 80 nucleotides in length. Their secondary structure includes four short double-helical elements and three loops (D, anti-codon, and T loops). Lineage: Eukaryota; Metazoa; Chordata; Mammalia; Rodentia; Sciuridae. The record is from Rfam by way of RNAcentral.
GGGGUUGUGGCUCAGUGGUAGAGUGCUUGCCUAGCACAUGUGAGGCACUGGGUUCAAUUCUCAGCACCCCA